This is a long non-coding RNA of Helianthus annuus (common sunflower), 1353 nucleotides long. RefSeq lists it as uncharacterized. The record is from RefSeq and is a predicted model, not a curated record. Lineage: Eukaryota; Viridiplantae; Streptophyta; Magnoliopsida; Asterales; Asteraceae. The transcript has 2 exons.
UUUUUUGUAAACGAUCGCAUCCCUUAUUGGGCCACAUCUUGCGUGUAAAGGCAGCCACGCCUCUGCUUCUUCAUGUCAUCUCUGUUUUAUAGUUCCUGGGAGAGAGAGAGAGACGAAGACGCAAAGUUUAGAGCGAGAAGAAGCACUCGCGAAGAGAGAGAGAGAGAGAGAGAGAGAGAUGGAGCUAACACCGCUUCCGGUGUUCCAGGCGGCGCAAGACGGUGCUUCUAUCUUCGGAGGAAGACGGGUUGUGGAGACGGGUGGUGGUGGCACUUCAUCAUACGCCUAGAACGUGGCCGGCGGUCCCGUAUAAGAAAUGCCUUACUGGUACGUGGGGAACCAUAGCUAGAGUCGACAACUAUCUAGCGUCUUUAAAUGUGGAUCUCUUAGGGGUGAUUAAAGGAAAAGUGGGUAAUGGGUCAAAAAUUAGAUUUUGGGUAGACAUGCGGGUUGGUGACAAACCGCUCAGGUUGGUGUACCCGAAUCUAUAUGAAUUGGAGAAAAAAAGGGAUGCAUGGUAGCGCAUAGGUGUGUGUCACGCAGUGGCCUAAUGUCGUAUCAAUGGGAGUGGAAAAGAAAUAUUAUGGAUGAUAUGGAUGCGGAUAACUUGUUGGUUUAAUGAUUUCGAUCAGUAAUGUGCAGUUCAGUAGGUCAAUUGAUACUUGGGUGUGGGUGGAGGAGGCUGCAGGUGAGUUUUCGGUGGCUUCGGUCAAGCGUGCUAUUUACAAGGCCCGUAAUGUCAAUCUGAUAAAGACGUUGGAUUGGAAUUCUUGGGCGCCCAUCAAGUUAAGUCUGUUCGGCUGGAGACUAAGUUUGCGCAUGCUUCCUACGAUGGAUGAACUCAUUAAAAGAAGAAUUUGCUGGGGUCCGAAUGGAUGCUGUUUGUGCCAUUCUGCAGAGGAAUCAGUAGAUCAUAUUUUCACAGAAUGUAUCGUUGCGGCUGUGGUUUUGCAGCAAAUUAGCGUGUGGUGCAAGAUCGCUCCCUUUUAUGCCUUUUCUAUAGAAGAUCUGUUCGGGUUGCAUAAAUUGAUCUCAGGUAGUAGCAUCAAAAAAGGCAGUCCAAGUCGUUAUUCUUGCUACUUGCUGGAGUUUAUGGCGGGCGAGAAACAAUUACAUUUUCUCCAAUGUUCCAGUGAAGGUCAGAAGCAUAUUGGAAGAGAUGAAAUCAGUUUGCUAUUGUUGGGUUAGUAACAGGGGAAAAUCUAUUGAUAUGGAUUGGAAAAAGUGGAAAGGAUUUAUAUUGUAAUGCUCCAGUUAGUUGUUGUGCUCGGGCCUUUGCCAGCUCCUUGGUGGUAGUUGGUUUUUGGUUUUUUUUUGAAUUUCGCUGUUCCAAAAAAAAAAAAAAAAAAAAAA